This 253-nucleotide ribosomal RNA is filed under the name uncultured bacterium. RNAcentral's name for it is "partial 16S ribosomal RNA". It matches the Rfam family "Bacterial small subunit ribosomal RNA", at positions 524 to 776 of the family's 1533-position model. The record is from RNAcentral.
UACAGAGGGGGCAAGCGUUGUUCGGAAUUACUGGGCGUAAAGGGCGCGUAGGCGGCCUUCUAAGUCGAACGUGAAAUCCCCGGGCUCAACCCGGGAACUGCGUCCGAUACUGGAAGGCUUGAAUCCGGGAGAGGGAUGUGGAAUUCCAGGUGUAGCGGUGAAAUGCGUAGAUAUCUGGAGGAAUACCGGUGGCGAAGGCGGCAUCCUGGACCGAGAUUGACGCUGAUGAGCGAAAGCUAGGGGAGCAAACGGG